RNAcentral lists this ribosomal RNA (525 nucleotides) under Lycognathophis seychellensis. RNAcentral's name for it is "partial large subunit ribosomal RNA". It matches the Rfam family "Bacterial large subunit ribosomal RNA", at positions 1809 to 2611 of the family's 2925-position model. Lineage: Eukaryota; Metazoa; Chordata; Lepidosauria; Squamata; Natricidae. The record is from RNAcentral.
AAAAACAUAACCUUUAGCAUAAACAAAUAUUAAAGGCAACGCCUGCCCAGUGAACAAUUAAACGGCCGCGGUAUCCUAACCGUGCAAAGGUAGCGUAAUCAUUUGUCUACUAAUUAUAGACCUGUAUGAAAGGCAAAAUGAGGGUUUAACUGUCUCUUAUAAUAAAUCUAUUAAACUGAUCUUUUAGUAAAAAAGCUAAAAUACUCCUAUAAGACCAGAAGACCCUGUGAAGCUUUAACUAAACCAUUAAACCAAAUAAUGUCUACUUUCGGUUGGGGCAACCUUGGAAACAAAAAUAACUUCCAAACAAAAUAUAACCUACCAUUAAGGCCCACAAGCCAAUUAACGACCCAGUAAUACUGAUAAUUGAAAAAAGUUACUCCAGGGAUAACAGCGCUAUCUUCUUCAAGAGCCCAUAUCAAAAAGAAGGUUUACGACCUCGAUGUUGGAUCAGGACAUCCUAGUGGUGCAACCGCUACUAAGGGUUCGUUUGUUCAACGAUUAAUGUCCUACGUGAUCUGAGUU